UUAAGCGACUAAGCGUACACGGUGGAUGCCCUGGCAGUCAGAGGCGAUGAAGGACGUGCUAAUCUGCGAUAAGCGUCGGUAAGGUGAUAUGAACCGUUAUAACCGGCGAUUUCCGAAUGGGGAAACCCAGUGUGUUUCGACACACUAUCAUUAACUGAAUCCAUAGGUUAAUGAGGCGAACCGGGGGAACUGAAACAUCUAAGUACCCCGAGGAAAAGAAAUCAACCGAGAUUCCCCCAGUAGCGGCGAGCGAACGGGGAGCAGCCCAGAGCCUGAAUCAGUGUGUGUGUUAGUGGAAGCGUCUGGAAAGGCGCGCGAUACAGGGUGACAGCCCCGUACACAAAAAUGCACAUGCUGUGAGCUCGAUGAGUAGGGCGGGACACGUGGUAUCCUGUCUGAAUAUGGGGGGACCAUCCUCCAAGGCUAAAUACUCCUGACUGACCGAUAGUGAACCAGUACCGUGAGGGAAAGGCGAAAAGAACCCCGGCGAGGGGAGUGAAAAAGAACCUGAAACCGUGUACGUACAAGCAGUGGGAGCACGCUUAGGCGUGUGACUGCGUACCUUUUGUAUAAUGGGUCAGCGACUUAUAUUCUGUAGCAAGGUUAACCGAAUAGGGGAGCCGAAGGGAAACCGAGUCUUAACUGGGCGUUAAGUUGCAGGGUAUAGACCCGAAACCCGGUGAUCUAGCCAUGGGCAGGUUGAAGGUUGGGUAACACUAACUGGAGGACCGAACCGACUAAUGUUGAAAAAUUAGCGGAUGACUUGUGGCUGGGGGUGAAAGGCCAAUCAAACCGGGAGAUAGCUGGUUCUCCCCGAAAGCUAUUUAGGUAGCGCCUCGUGAAUUCAUCUCCGGGGGUAGAGCACUGUUUCGGCAAGGGGGUCAUCCCGACUUACCAACCCGAUGCAAACUGCGAAUACCGGAGAAUGUUAUCACGGGAGACACACGGCGGGUGCUAACGUCCGUCGUGAAGAGGGAAACAACCCAGACCGCCAGCUAAGGUCCCAAAGUCAUGGUUAAGUGGGAAACGAUGUGGGAAGGCCCAGACAGCCAGGAUGUUGGCUUAGAAGCAGCCAUCAUUUAAAGAAAGCGUAAUAGCUCACUGGUCGAGUCGGCCUGCGCGGAAGAUGUAACGGGGCUAAACCAUGCACCGAAGCUGCGGCAGCGACGCUUAGGCGUUGUUGGGUAGGGGAGCGUUCUGUAAGCCUGCGAAGGUGUGCUGUGAGGUAUGCUGGAGGUAUCAGAAGUGCGAAUGCUGACAUAAGUAACGAUAAAGCGGGUGAAAAGCCCGCUCGCCGGAAGACCAAGGGUUCCUGUCCAACGUUAAUCGGGGCAGGGUGAGUCGACCCCUAAGGCGAGGCCGAAAGGCGUAGUCGAUGGGAAACAGGUUAAUAUUCCUGUACUUGGUGUUACUGCGAAGGGGGGACGGAGAAGGCUAUGUUGGCCGGGCGACGGUUGUCCCGGUUUAAGCGUGUAGGCUGGUUUUCCAGGCAAAUCCGGAAAAUCAAGGCUGAGGCGUGAUGACGAGGCACUACGGUGCUGAAGCAACAAAUGCCCUGCUUCCAGGAAAAGCCUCUAAGCAUCAGGUAACAUCAAAUCGUACCCCAAACCGACACAGGUGGUCAGGUAGAGAAUACCAAGGCGCUUGAGAGAACUCGGGUGAAGGAACUAGGCAAAAUGGUGCCGUAACUUCGGGAGAAGGCACGCUGAUAUGUAGGUGAAGUCCCUCGCGGAUGGAGCUGAAAUCAGUCGAAGAUACCAGCUGGCUGCAACUGUUUAUUAAAAACACAGCACUGUGCAAACACGAAAGUGGACGUAUACGGUGUGACGCCUGCCCGGUGCCGGAAGGUUAAUUGAUGGGGUCAGCGCAAGCGAAGCUCUUGAUCGAAGCCCCGGUAAACGGCGGCCGUAACUAUAACGGUCCUAAGGUAGCGAAAUUCCUUGUCGGGUAAGUUCCGACCUGCACGAAUGGCGUAAUGAUGGCCAGGCUGUCUCCACCCGAGACUCAGUGAAAUUGAACUCGCUGUGAAGAUGCAGUGUACCCGCGGCAAGACGGAAAGACCCCGUGAACCUUUACUAUAGCUUGACACUGAACAUUGAGCCUUGAUGUGUAGGAUAGGUGGGAGGCUUUGAAGUGUGGACGCCAGUCUGCAUGGAGCCGACCUUGAAAUACCACCCUUUAAUGUUUGAUGUUCUAACGUGGACCCGUGAUCCGGGUUGCGGACAGUGUCUGGUGGGUAGUUUGACUGGGGCGGUCUCCUCCUAAAGAGUAACGGAGGAGCACGAAGGUUGGCUAAUCCUGGUCGGACAUCAGGAGGUUAGUGCAAUGGCAUAAGCCAGCUUGACUGCGAGCGUGACGGCGCGAGCAGGUGCGAAAGCAGGUCAUAGUGAUCCGGUGGUUCUGAAUGGAAGGGCCAUCGCUCAACGGAUAAAAGGUACUCCGGGGAUAACAGGCUGAUACCGCCCAAGAGUUCAUAUCGACGGCGGUGUUUGGCACCUCGAUGUCGGCUCAUCACAUCCUGGGGCUGAAGUAGGUCCCAAGGGUAUGGCUGUUCGCCAUUUAAAGUGGUACGCGAGCUGGGUUUAGAACGUCGUGAGACAGUUCGGUCCCUAUCUGCCGUGGGCGCUGGAGAACUGAGGGGGGCUGCUCCUAGUACGAGAGGACCGGAGUGGACGCAUCACUGGUGUUCGGGUUGUCAUGCCAAUGGCACUGCCCGGUAGCUAAAUGCGGAAGAGAUAAGUGCUGAAAGCAUCUAAGCACGAAACUUGCCCCGAGAUGAGUUCUCCCUGACCCUUUAAGGGUCCUGAAGGAACGUUGAAGACGACGACGUUGAUAGGCCGGGUGUGUAAGCGCAGCGAUGCGUUGAGCUAACCGGUACUAAUGAACCGUGAGGCUUAACCUU
RNAcentral lists this ribosomal RNA (2902 nucleotides) under Escherichia coli. RNAcentral's name for it is "23S ribosomal RNA". It matches the Rfam family "Bacterial large subunit ribosomal RNA". Lineage: Bacteria; Pseudomonadati; Pseudomonadota; Gammaproteobacteria; Enterobacterales; Enterobacteriaceae. The record is from RNAcentral.